Molecule: ribosomal RNA, 342 nt
Filed under: Salmonella enterica
Lineage: Bacteria; Pseudomonadati; Pseudomonadota; Gammaproteobacteria; Enterobacterales; Enterobacteriaceae
Also listed under: 4 other names
Description: partial 16S ribosomal RNA
Rfam family: Bacterial small subunit ribosomal RNA
Source: RNAcentral
AAAUUGAAGAGUUUGAUCAUGGCUCAGAUUGAACGCUGGCGGCAGGCCUAACACAUGCAAGUCGAACGGUAACAGGAAGCAGCUUGCUGCUUUGCUGACGAGUGGCGGACGGGUGAGUAAUGUCUGGGAAACUGCCUGAUGGAGGGGGAUAACUACUGGAAACGGUGGCUAAUACCGCAUAACGUCGCAAGACCAAAGAGGGGGACCUUCGGGCCUCUUGCCAUCAGAUGUGCCCAGAUGGGAUUAGCUUGUUGGUGAGGUAACGGCUCACCAAGGCGACGAUCCCUAGCUGGUCUGAGAGGAUGACCAGCCACACUGGAACUGAGACACGGUCCAGACUCC